CUAUACAUGACUCUGGCGCAUAUCAAUAAGCGGAGGAAAAGAAACUAACAAGGAUUCCCCUUAGUAACGGCGAGUGAAGCGGGAAGAGCUCAAAUUUGGAAAUCUUCAAGGGUUUACCUUGACGAAUUGUAGUUUAAAGAAGUGUUUUCUGCUGAGGUUUUGGUAAAAGUUCUUUGGAAUAGGACAUCAUAGAGGGUGAGAAUCCCGUAUUUGACCAUUACUUUUCAACUUUGUGAUACACUUUCAAAGAGUCGGAUUGUUUGGGAAUGCAGUCCAAAAUGUGUGGUAAAUUUCAUCUAAAGCUAAAUAUUGGCGAGAGACCGAUAGCGAACAAGUACCGUGAGGGAAAGAUGAAAAGAACUUUGAAAAGAGAGUUAAACAGUACGUGAAAUUGUCAAAAGGGAAGCGUUUGACACCAGUGUUGUUUUUCUGAAAAUCAAUUAAAGAACUGUUUAUGCUAAGUUGUUUAGACUUUAUCAGCUAACUGUCUAGUUUUGAGCUUUUCUUUAAUGCACUUUUCAGUUAACAAGUCAACAUCAAUUUCUUUUGCUGUAAAAAAGCUUGAGGAAGGUGGCUUGAGAUUCGUCUUAAGUGUUUAUAGCCUCUUGCCUAUGCAGUCGGAGAGAUUGAGGUCUGCAGCGUAGAUCCUUCGGGGCUAAAUGCAUUUGUGCUAAGUUAUAGCAUUUUAUAGACAACUUGUUGACUAUGAUUUGUCUUGUAGCUUACUCGCUUAUGUUAUUUUACCUACGCUUAGGAUGUUGACAGCAGUAUAGACUGU
RNAcentral lists this ribosomal RNA (778 nucleotides) under uncultured Neocallimastigales. RNAcentral's name for it is "partial large subunit ribosomal RNA". It matches the Rfam family "Eukaryotic large subunit ribosomal RNA", at positions 22 to 629 of the family's 3401-position model. Lineage: Eukaryota; Fungi; Neocallimastigomycota; Neocallimastigomycetes; Neocallimastigales. The record is from RNAcentral.